CCAGGCUCGGGAGGCCCCCAGCAAAUCGGACGCUGUGGGCUAGGCCGCCACCGCGAGCCCACUCGCCCGAUACGCGCCUUGGGGUCCGGGUCGGCUUUCCCCGGGACCCCUGGCCGGAAACUGAGCCGUUCACUUCCGCCACCAGCCGGAAGUUUUCUGUCACUGGACGCCAAGGAGUUUUCGGUGGCUCAGCUGGGUAACCGGGGAUCACCAUGGCGGCCUCAUUGGUCGUUCAGAUUCUAGGAGAUAAGUUUCCAUGCACUUUGGUGGCACAGAAAAUUGACCUGCCGGAGUACCAGGGGGAGCCGGAUGAGAUUUCCAUACAGAAAUGUCAGGAGGCAGUUCGCCAGGUACAGGGGCCCGUGCUGGUUGAGGACACUUGUCUGUGCUUCAAUGCCCUUGGAGGGCUCCCCGGCCCCUACAUAAAGUGGUUUCUGGAGAAGUUAAAGCCUGAAGGUCUCCACCAGCUCCUGGCCGGGUUCGAGGACAAGUCAGCCUAUGCGCUCUGCACGUUUGCACUCAGCACCGGGGACCCAAGCCAGCCCGUGCGCCUGUUCAGGGGCCGGACCUCGGAACGCUGUCAUAGUAGCCGGCAUCUGGCUUGUCCACGGAGUUCAGGGGCCGGAUCGUGGCACCCAGAGGCUGCCAGGACUUUGGCUGGGACCCCUGCUUUCAGCCUGAUGGAUAUGAGCAGACGUACGCAGAGAUGCCUAAGGCGGAGAAGAACGCUGUCUCCCAUCGCUUCCGGGCCCUGCUGGAGCUGCAGGAGUACUUUGGCAGUUUGGCAGCUUGACUUCUGCAGCUGGAGGAGGCCCCUCAGGCCGGGGAUCUGGGGAGGGCUAGCCCAAAACCUCCCGCAUCGGGCAGGCACCCCCUGAAGUACUUCCUUCAGGGUUUCCCCUUUGUGAGGGUGUCGAGUAGCCUCACCGGCCUGUCUGGAGGAGCAGCUGGCUCUGCUCUGAGAAACUCUGGCAAGUGGACGCCAUUCUCUUGCCCUUAGGAUUCACUGCUCUCUCCUACAGCCGCCAGGCCUGGGGUCCUGAAAGGACCUUGGGUGGUAAAGCUGUACUUGGUGGGAGUGAGGGCGUGGGGAGGAACCAUGCAAAUCGCCUUCCAUGGUUUUUAAAUGCAGUAAAUAACAUUUCUGGAUGAGACUUGUUUCCAAAAUAAACCAG
RNAcentral lists this long non-coding RNA (1175 nucleotides) under Homo sapiens (human). RNAcentral's name for it is "long non-coding RNA NONHSAT188374.1". The record is from RNAcentral. Lineage: Eukaryota; Metazoa; Chordata; Mammalia; Primates; Hominidae.